UAUAGAGUGGGGUAUAUAGGGUAUUAACUUACAGGUAGUGUAUAUAGUGGGGUAUAUAGGGUAUUAACUUAAAGGUAGGGUAUAUAGUGGGGUAUAUAGGGUAUUAACUUACAGGUAGUGUAUAUAGUGGGGUAUAUAGGGUAUUAACUUAAAGGUAGGGUAUAUAGUGGGGUAUAUAGGGUAUUAACUUAAAGGUAGGGUAUAUAGUGGGGUAUAUAGGGUAUUAACUUACAGGUAGGGUAUAUAGUGGGGUAUAUAGGGUAUUAACUUACAGGUAGGGUAUAUAGUGGGGUAUAUAGGGUAUUAACUUACAGGUAGGGUAUAUAGUGGGGUAUAUAGGGUAUUAACUUACAGGUAGGGUAUAUAGUGGGGUAUAUAGGGUAUUAACUUACAGGUAGGGUAUAUAGUGGGGUAUAUAGGGUAUUAAUUAACAGGUAGGGUAUAUAGUGGGGUAUAUAGGGUAUUAACUUACAGGUAGGGUAUAUAGUGGGGUAUAUAGGGUAUUAACUAACAGGUAGGGUAUAUAGCGGGGUAUAUAGGGUAUAAACUUACAGGUAGGGUAUAUAGUGGGGUAUAUAGGGUAUAAACUCACAGGUAAGGUAUAAAGCGGGGUAUAUAGGGUAUUUACUUAGAGGUAGGGUAUAUAGUGGGGUAUAUAGGGUAUUAACUUACAGGUAGGGUAUAUAGUGGGGUAUAUAGGGUAUUAACUUACAGGUAGGGUAUAUAGUGGGGUAUAUAGGGUAUUAACUUACAGGUAGGGUAUAUAGUGGGGUAUAUAGGGUAUAAACUCACAGGUAGGG
This is a long non-coding RNA of Dicentrarchus labrax (European seabass), 800 nucleotides long. RefSeq lists it as uncharacterized. The transcript is spliced from 6 exons. The record is from RefSeq and is a predicted model, not a curated record. NCBI's taxonomy places the organism in Eukaryota, Metazoa, Chordata, Actinopteri, Moronidae.